Vicugna pacos (alpaca) is the source of this 1181-nucleotide non-coding RNA. Lineage: Eukaryota; Metazoa; Chordata; Mammalia; Artiodactyla; Camelidae. The record is from RefSeq and is a predicted model, not a curated record.
AUGAUUUUUCUGUGGAGUGGAAUGUUUAACUAGUGACUUGGACCUUUGCCCACUAGAAUACAAUUAUUGAGAAAACCAGAAGGGUUUUUAGAGUCCUUAUUCUUGAAUUAUAUUCGGGAAGGAUCAGCAAUUUAAAAAAAUAAUCUUAGCCUUCUGUUCUUGCUUCUAAUUCCCAUGCAUCUUGUAUGUAGAAUUUGAAUAGUCUUGUUGUGUACCCAUACAUCUGUAACUUGAAUGUAGCUUGAAAUGUAUUUGUGCAUUGACCUGAAAGUUUAUAUGUGAAUUUGUCAGCAGUUUCCAUGUUCCUACUCGAGUGUUUUUUUUUUAACUAUGGUGAAUCAUCAUCACUUUCUUUCUAUCUAAUGCUUGAAAAUAAUUUGUAAUUACAUUUCUAAAUACCUCUUUUAAGUGACUUUCCAAUGACAACCUAUUGGAAUAUAGCACCCCGUAACUGACUGAUGGGGGGUUAGUUGAUACCUGGAAUCUUCCACAUGCACUUAUUGUGUCUAGUGGUAUAAAACAUAAAAGGCAGCCUGGCCUUUAUCCUGGAAACGUACAGUUGAAAAGAAGACCUGACAUGGAUAGUUUCAUUAAUGUACCUUUAUGCCUGUUGACAUGGAAAAAACACUGCAUACUUUUGGGGAGCUACAGUAGAAAAGAGGCCUGCUUUUUCAUUAAGCAUUUACAAAGCCUUUUUUCUCUACUGUGUUCUGAGGAGGAUUUAAAGAGGCUCGUCAGGGAUCCAGAAGAUACAGUAAGAUGUGCAAAACUCUUUAAGAAUUGUGGAAACAGGUUUCCAGGCUCCUGCUUAUCAUCUUAUUUUGGAAGGAAUUUUAAUAUUCUGGAUAAUCAAACUUCUUUUUUCUAAAACUUAUAAAUUACAAGAAUGAUCUGAUCUUACAGUCAAGGAAAAGGAAGAACUGAUUGAAGAGUAGCAGCCAGAACCUCUUGUCCCUCCUGUCUCGAAAGACCAUCCUGCUCUCAACUACAACAUCGUUUCAGGGUAAAUUGGUUUGCUGUUCAGGGACUUAUGUUUGGUUUCCUGUAGGUAAAAUCACUUAAGUGGUUUAUAUAGUGUUCCUUUUUAAACUGAAACAAGACUUUUAGCAGUUCCUGGAGAUGAAAAGCGAACUGCUUUAUUUCCUAGUAUAAAACUUUCUUUUAGGUAUGGUAUGGGCAUU